AGAGUUUGAUCAUGGCUCAGAACGAACGCUGGCGGCGUGCCUAACACAUGCAAGUCGAACGAGAAAGGGGCUUCGGCCCUGAGUAAAGUGGCGCACGGGUGAGUAACACGUAGGUAACCUGCCUCUAAGAUUGGGAUAACAUGUCGAAAGACGUGCUAAUACCGAAUGAGACCACAGUUUCCUCGGAAACAGGGGUCAAAGGUAGCCUCUAUUUAUAAGCUAUCACUUAGAGAUGGGCCUGCGUACCAUUAGCUAGUUGGUAGGGUAACGGCCUACCAAGGCAAAGAUGGUUAGCUGGUCUGAGAGGAUGAUCAGCCACACUGGAACUGAGACACGGUCCAGACUCCUACGGGAGGCAGCAGUGGGGAAUAUUGCGCAAUGGGCGAAAGCCUGACGCAGCAACGCCGCGUGAGUGAUGAAGGCCUUCGGGUCGUAAAGCUCUGUCGGAGGGAACGAAUGUUUCUGANGUUAACAGCGUCCNGAGUGACGU
Molecule: ribosomal RNA, 490 nt
Filed under: uncultured bacterium Riz1080
Lineage: Bacteria
Description: bacterial SSU rRNA
Rfam family: Bacterial small subunit ribosomal RNA
Source: RNAcentral